Molecule: transfer RNA, 82 nt
Filed under: Cricetulus griseus (Chinese hamster)
Lineage: Eukaryota; Metazoa; Chordata; Mammalia; Rodentia; Cricetidae
Rfam family: tRNA
About the family: Transfer RNA (tRNA) molecules are approximately 80 nucleotides in length. Their secondary structure includes four short double-helical elements and three loops (D, anti-codon, and T loops).
Source: Rfam by way of RNAcentral
GGAGAGAUAGCUCAGUGGUUAAGAGCACUGGCUUCCAGAGCACUGCUCUUCCAGAGGACCUGGGUUCAAUUUCCAGCAUCCA